This 365-nucleotide ribosomal RNA is filed under the name Comatricha sp. Its description in RNAcentral is "SSU rRNA". It matches the Rfam family "Eukaryotic small subunit ribosomal RNA", at positions 76 to 405 of the family's 1831-position model. Lineage: Eukaryota; Evosea; Eumycetozoa; Stemonitida; Stemonitidae. The record is from RNAcentral.
UCUCUCCGAAUCUGCGAACGGCUCCGCAAACCAGUUGUAAACCAUAGCAAGGCCGAGCCGAGCCACCCUCGGGUGGCUCGGCAUUUAUAUGGAUACCCGUGGUAAUUCUGAGGCUAAUACAUGACAAACCGAACCGACCUCGGCUUCGAGCCAGGGUCGGGGACGUGCGAUAUAAUGCUGGGAAACCAAUCGUGAAUGAGCGCACGUCCAGACCACCGUCGAGUGGGCAGAUCCUCGGGUCUGUCCUGGUGGCCCUUGCAGCGGGCUCCUGACCUAUCAACUACACAGCAGCGUAAGGGACAUGCUAUGGUGACAACGGGUACAGAGGAUUAGGGUUCGAUCCUGGAGAGUGGGCCUGAGAGAUU